RNAcentral lists this ribosomal RNA (253 nucleotides) under uncultured bacterium. RNAcentral describes it as "partial 16S ribosomal RNA". It matches the Rfam family "Bacterial small subunit ribosomal RNA", at positions 524 to 776 of the family's 1533-position model. The record is from RNAcentral.
UACGUAGGUGGCAAGCGUUGUCCGGAAUUAUUGGGCGUAAAGCGCGCGCAGGCGGUUCCUUAAGUCUGAUGUGAAAGCCCCCGGCUUAACCGGGGAGGGGCAUUGGAAACUGGGGGACUUGAGUGCAGAAGAGGAGAGCGGAAUUCCACGUGUAGCGGUGAAAUGCGUAGAGAUGUGGAGGAACACCGGUGGCGAAGGCGGCUCUCUGGUCUGUAACUGACGCUGAGGCGCGAAAGCGUGGGGAGCAAACAGG